AAUAAAAUCUGAGCGGGGUUGUCGCUGGCCUUCAGAGGGGCAUGUGCACGUCUCGUUCGUUUUUUAAUUUUACACCCCUGUGCACUUCUCAUAGGUCGGGCGGCGACGCCCUUCCUGUGUGUUUCAUUACCCACGUUUAUAGUGUUAGAAUGUCACUGCGAUGCAUAGAUUGCAUACAAUACAACUUUCAGCAACGGAUCUCUUGGCUCUCGCAUCGAUGAAGAACGCAGCGAAAUGCGAUAAGUAAUGUGAAUUGCAGAAUUCAGUGAAUCAUCGAAUCUUUGAACGCACCUUGCGCUCCUUGGUAUUCCGAGGAGCAUGCCUGUUUGAGUGUCAUGGUAUUCUCAACUCUUCUGUGUGUUUUUUUUUCUUCAAUGAAAAAAGAAUAACAAUGCAGUCGAGUUUGGAUGUGGAGGUUUUUUUGCUGGUGUUUCAACUUUGUUUUGAACGCCGGCUCCUCUGAAAUGCAUUAGCUUGAAUAUUUUACUGAGCRUGUGAUCCGGCGUGAUAAUUGUCUACGUCGUUUCAGUCUCGGUGUUUCAAUAAAUGUUCUAGCUUCGAGCCGUCCCUUUGGACAAUGUGUAUCUGAACGUCUGACCUCACAUCAGGUAGGACUACCCGCUGAACUUAAGCAUAUCAAUAAGCGGAGGAAAAGAAACUAACAAGGAUUCCCCUAGUAACUGCGAGUGAAGCGGGAAAAGCUCACAUUUAAAAUCUGGCAGCUUCGGCUGUCCGAGUUGUAGUCUGGAGAAGCGUUUUCUGUGCUGGACCGUAUACAAGUCUCUUGGAACAGAGCGUCGUAGAGGGUGAGAAUCCCGUCUUUGAUACGGACUGCCAGUGCUAUGUGAUGCGCUCUCAAAGAGUCGAGUUGUUUGGGAAUGCAGCUCAAAAUGGGUGGUAAAUUCCAUCUAAAGCUAAAUAUGGGCGAGAGACCGAUAGCGAACAAGUACCGUGAGGGAAAGAUGAAAAGCACUUUGGAAAGAGAGUUAAACAGUACGUGAAAUUGCUGAAAGGGAAACGCUUGAAGUCAGUCGCGUCGACCAGAACUCAGCCUGGCUUUGGCCUGGUGCAUUUUCUGGUAGACGGGCCAGCGUCAGUUUUGAUCGUUGGAAAAAGGCCUUGGGAAGGUGGCACCCUCGGGUGUGUUAUAGCCCAAGGUCACAUACAGCGGUUGGGAUUGAGGAUCUCAGUACGCCUUUACGGUCGGGGUUCGCCCACGUUCGUACUUAGGAUGCUGGCGUAAUGGCUUUAAACGACCCGUCUUGAAACACGGACCAAGGAGUCUAACAUGCCUGCGAGUGUUUGGGUGCAAAACCCGAGCGCGCAAUGAAAGUGAAAGUUGGGAUCCCUGUCGCGGGGAGCACCGACGCCCGGACCAGACCUUCUGUGACGGCUCCGCGGUAGAGCAUGUAUGUUGGGACCCGAAAGAUGGUGAACUAUGCCUGAAUAGGGUGAAGCCAGAGGAAACUCUGGUGGAGGCUCGUAGCGAUUCUGACGUGCAAAUCGAUCGUCAAAUUUGGGUAUAGGGGCGAAAGACUAAUCGAACCAUCUAGUAGCUGGUUCCUGCCGAAGUUUCCCUCAGGAUAGCAGAAACUCAUGUCAGAUUUAUGUGGUAAAGCGAAUGAUUAGAGGCCUUGGGGUUGAAACAACCUUAACCUAUUCUCAAACUUUAAAUAUGUAAGAACGAGCCGUCACUUCAUUGGACCGCUCGGCGAUUGAGAGUUUCUAGUGGGCCAUUUUUGGUAAGCAGAACUGGCG
Molecule: ribosomal RNA, 1758 nt
Filed under: Steccherinum cf. ciliolatum 47033
Lineage: Eukaryota; Fungi; Basidiomycota; Agaricomycetes; Polyporales; Steccherinaceae
Description: eukaryotic LSU rRNA
Rfam family: Eukaryotic large subunit ribosomal RNA (bases 595-1758)
Source: RNAcentral